Brassica oleracea var. oleracea is the source of this 929-nucleotide long non-coding RNA. RefSeq lists it as uncharacterized. The transcript is spliced from 3 exons. The record is from RefSeq and is a predicted model, not a curated record. Lineage: Eukaryota; Viridiplantae; Streptophyta; Magnoliopsida; Brassicales; Brassicaceae.
UUUGUCGACAUAGAAAAAGGAUCGCCAGUGCUCACUAUUCUUCGUAUUCUUCCACUUUCCUCAAUCGUAUCGUCGCCAUUGAAAGCAAAAGAAGCUUGGACACUGAAAAGCCAAAAAAGACCAACGUUUCAUCUACAGCUUAAAAAAUCGUUUUCAAUCCAAAACUUCUCAUUCAAUUCCAAAUCAUUUAACUCAACGCAUCCUUGUUUGCAAGGGUUACUGUACUUACUUGUCAAUGGCUCAUGGGACCUUGCAAAGUAAACACCAUUGAUCUUCCUAAUGGAGAAGCUUGGGAGAAUGGGGUUCUUGUGGAGAAAUGUCAGUAUCUAGAGGAGAGCAAAUGUGUGGGAGUAUGCAUCAAUACUGUAAACUACCAACUCAGGUUUUCUUCUGCAAUCCAACCCAACCAGUUCUUAUUGUUAUGUCUUAAACAAUGUCAUGAAUUUGGAAUCUUUGAUCAACUCCUGAAACUGUAGAAUUGUAUUAGACUCAUCCAGAGGAUGUUCAGAACAUAUCGGCUAACCCGAGACUGAUAUAUCAGUUGAAAACGAGAGCUCAGAAAUGCAGCGUUUGCAAGAUAUAUCACUAGUGGAAAUUACUCAUAUAGUCACGUUUUAGUCACUUAUGUGUGUGACUAUUUUUUGAUUAGUCACAAAAAAGUCUCGAAUAGUCACAAAAUAUGAAAAUAGGAAAUAACGUGACUAAUCGUGUCAUUUCCGUGACAUAAAUAGUCAUGUUUUUGUCAGAAAUGAUUACGUGACUAGAUAUAGACACGUUUUGCCACAAUAAUUUCGUGACUAAUCGGACAUAAUUAAAAACCGUGAUCAGAUGGUGUUACUUUUUUAAAAUAGUCACGAAUUUGACACAUUUUGUUCAUGACUAUUUAAAUCUCUAAACCCUAAGUGAAAUUUUGAAACCCUAAACUCUAA